Molecule: long non-coding RNA, 241 nt
Filed under: Mytilus galloprovincialis (Mediterranean mussel)
Lineage: Eukaryota; Metazoa; Mollusca; Bivalvia; Mytilida; Mytilidae
Source: RNAcentral
UUUAUACCUUUUAUGGGAAUAAGAAUUUCAUAUAAUUACAAAAUAUCUAUACACUGCAUGUCAUGAAUAUAAACUAACGUAUUCGUUUUCUUGCGAAAUAAUAGCUUAGGCAAAACAACUAAGUUUUCCAAUACCAAAAUAUGUUUUCUGAGUUAUCUUUCUUGACAUAGCAAUUUUUUAACAUCUGGAGUAGAACGUGAAAAAGAUGUUCAAAAAGAUUAAAUCAUAUUUUUAAAUUCAA